Molecule: ribosomal RNA, 2922 nt
Filed under: Staphylococcus aureus M1311
Lineage: Bacteria; Bacillati; Bacillota; Bacilli; Caryophanales; Staphylococcaceae
Description: bacterial LSU rRNA
Rfam family: Bacterial large subunit ribosomal RNA
Source: RNAcentral
UUAAGUUAUUAAGGGCGCACGGUGGAUGCCUUGGCACUAGAAGCCGAUGAAGGACGUUACUAACGACGAUAUGCUUUGGGGAGCUGUAAGUAAGCUUUGAUCCAGAGAUUUCCGAAUGGGGAAACCCAGCAUGAGUUAUGUCAUGUUAUCGAUAUGUGAAUACAUAGCAUAUCAGAAGGCACACCCGGAGAACUGAAACAUCUUAGUACCCGGAGGAAGAGAAAGAAAAUUCGAUUCCCUUAGUAGCGGCGAGCGAAACGGGAAGAGCCCAAACCAACAAGCUUGCUUGUUGGGGUUGUAGGACACUCUAUACGGAGUUACAAAGGACGACAUUAGACGAAUCAUCUGGAAAGAUGAAUCAAAGAAGGUAAUAAUCCUGUAGUCGAAAAUGUUGUCUCUCUUGAGUGGAUCCUGAGUACGACGGAGCACGUGAAAUUCCGUCGGAAUCUGGGAGGACCAUCUCCUAAGGCUAAAUACUCUCUAGUGACCGAUAGUGAACCAGUACCGUGAGGGAAAGGUGAAAAGCACCCCGGAAGGGGAGUGAAAUAGAACCUGAAACCGUGUGCUUACAAGUAGUCAGAGCCCGUUAAUGGGUGAUGGCGUGCCUUUUGUAGAAUGAACCGGCGAGUUACGAUUUGAUGCAAGGUUAAGCAGUAAAUGUGGAGCCGUAGCGAAAGCGAGUCUGAAUAGGGCGUUUAGUAUUUGGUCGUAGACCCGAAACCAGGUGAUCUACCCUUGGUCAGGUUGAAGUUCAGGUAACACUGAAUGGAGGACCGAACCGACUUACGUUGAAAAGUGAGCGGAUGAACUGAGGGUAGCGGAGAAAUUCCAAUCGAACCUGGAGAUAGCUGGUUCUCUCCGAAAUAGCUUUAGGGCUAGCCUCAAGUGAUGAUUAUUGGAGGUAGAGCACUGUUUGGAUGAGGGGCCCCUCUCGGGUUACCGAAUUCAGACAAACUCCGAAUGCCAAUUAAUUUAACUUGGGAGUCAGAACAUGGGUGAUAAGGUCCGUGUUCGAAAGGGAAACAGCCCAGACCACCAGCUAAGGUCCCAAAAUAUAUGUUAAGUGGAAAAGGAUGUGGCGUUGCCCAGACAACUAGGAUGUUGGCUUAGAAGCAGCCAUCAUUUAAAGAGUGCGUAAUAGCUCACUAGUCGAGUGACACUGCGCCGAAAAUGUACCGGGGCUAAACAUAUUACCGAAGCUGUGGAUUGUCCUUUGGACAAUGGUAGGAGAGCGUUCUAAGGGCGUUGAAGCAUGAUCGUAAGGACAUGUGGAGCGCUUAGAAGUGAGAAUGCCGGUGUGAGUAGCGAAAGACGGGUGAGAAUCCCGUCCACCGAUUGACUAAGGUUUCCAGAGGAAGGCUCGUCCGCUCUGGGUUAGUCGGGUCCUAAGCUGAGGCCGACAGGCGUAGGCGAUGGAUAACAGGUUGAUAUUCCUGUACCACCUAUAAUCGUUUUAAUCGAUGGGGGGGACGCAGUAGGAUAGGCGAAGCGUGCGAUUGGAUUGCACGUCUAAGCAGUAAGGCUGAGUAUUAGGCAAAUCCGGUACUCGUUAAGGCUGAGCUGUGAUGGGGAGAAGACAUUGUGUCUUCGAGUCGUUGAUUUCACACUGCCGAGAAAAGCCUCUAGAUAGAAAAUAGGUGCCCGUACCGCAAACCGACACAGGUAGUCAAGAUGAGAAUUCUAAGGUGAGCGAGCGAACUCUCGUUAAGGAACUCGGCAAAAUGACCCCGUAACUUCGGGAGAAGGGGUGCUCUUUAGGGUUAACGCCCAGAAGAGCCGCAGUGAAUAGGCCCAAGCGACUGUUUAUCAAAAACACAGGUCUCUGCUAAACCGUAAGGUGAUGUAUAGGGGCUGACGCCUGCCCGGUGCUGGAAGGUUAAGAGGAGUGGUUAGCUUCUGCGAAGCUACGAAUCGAAGCCCCAGUAAACGGCGGCCGUAACUAUAACGGUCCUAAGGUAGCGAAAUUCCUUGUCGGGUAAGUUCCGACCCGCACGAAAGGCGUAACGAUUUGGGCACUGUCUCAACGAGAGACUCGGUGAAAUCAUAGUACCUGUGAAGAUGCAGGUUACCCGCGACAGGACGGAAAGACCCCGUGGAGCUUUACUGUAGCCUGAUAUUGAAAUUCGGCACAGCUUGUACAGGAUAGGUAGGAGCCUUUGAAACGUGAGCGCUAGCUUACGUGGAGGCGCUGGUGGGAUACUACCCUAGCUGUGUUGGCUUUCUAACCCGCACCACUUAUCGUGGUGGGAGACAGUGUCAGGCGGGCAGUUUGACUGGGGCGGUCGCCUCCUAAAAGGUAACGGAGGCGCUCAAAGGUUCCCUCAGAAUGGUUGGAAAUCAUUCAUAGAGUGUAAAGGCAUAAGGGAGCUUGACUGCGAGACCUACAAGUCGAGCAGGGUCGAAAGACGGACUUAGUGAUCCGGUGGUUCCGCAUGGAAGGGCCAUCGCUCAACGGAUAAAAGCUACCCCGGGGAUAACAGGCUUAUCUCCCCCAAGAGUUCACAUCGACGGGGAGGUUUGGCACCUCGAUGUCGGCUCAUCGCAUCCUGGGGCUGUAGUCGGUCCCAAGGGUUGGGCUGUUCGCCCAUUAAAGCGGUACGCGAGCUGGGUUCAGAACGUCGUGAGACAGUUCGGUCCCUAUCCGUCGUGGGCGUAGGAAAUUUGAGAGGAGCUGUCCUUAGUACGAGAGGACCGGGAUGGACAUACCUCUGGUGUACCAGUUGUCGUGCCAACGGCAUAGCUGGGUAGCUAUGUGUGGACGGGAUAAGUGCUGAAAGCAUCUAAGCAUGAAGCCCCCCUCAAGAUGAGAUUUCCCAACUUCGGUUAUAAGAUCCCUCAAAGAUGAUGAGGUUAAUAGGUUCGAGGUGGAAGCAUGGUGACAUGUGGAGCUGACGAAUACUAAUCGAUCGAAGACUUAAUCAA